RNAcentral lists this ribosomal RNA (254 nucleotides) under uncultured bacterium. Its description in RNAcentral is "partial 16S ribosomal RNA". It matches the Rfam family "Bacterial small subunit ribosomal RNA", at positions 524 to 776 of the family's 1533-position model. The record is from RNAcentral.
UACGUAGGGGGCGAGCGUUGUCCGAAGUUACUGGGCGUAAAGCGCGCGUAGGCGGUUUCUUAAGUCUGGUGUGAAAGGUUCAGGGCUCAACCCGAACAGUGCACUGGAUACUGGGAGACUUGAGUAUGGGAGAGGAGAGCGGAAUUCCUGGUGUAGCGGUGAAAUGCGUAGAUAUCAGGAGGAACACCGAUGGCGAAGGCAAUCCCCUGGGCCUGUACUGACGCUCAUGCACGAAAGCGUGGGGAGCAAACAGG